GAUGAACGCUGGCGGCGUGCCUAACACAUGCAAGUCGAACGGGCUCGGAUUGAAACCUAGUGAUUUCCGAGUUAGUGGCGGACGGGUGAGUAACGCGUGGAUAACCUGCCGUAUGCAGGGGGAUAACAGUUGGAAACAGCUGCUAAUACCGCAUAAGCGCACAGUACCGCAUGGGACGGUGUGAAAAGAUUUAUCGGCAUACGAUGGAUCCGCGUCCGAUUAGCCAGUUGGCGGGGUAACGGCCCACCAAAGCGACGAUCGGUAGCCGGCCUGAGAGGGCGGACGGCCACAUUGGGACUGAGACACGGCCCAA
RNAcentral lists this ribosomal RNA (313 nucleotides) under uncultured bacterium. RNAcentral describes it as "bacterial SSU rRNA". It matches the Rfam family "Bacterial small subunit ribosomal RNA", at positions 28 to 334 of the family's 1533-position model. The record is from RNAcentral.